This 66-nucleotide transfer RNA is filed under the name Apodemus mystacinus (broad-toothed field mouse). RNAcentral describes it as "tRNA-Pro". Lineage: Eukaryota; Metazoa; Chordata; Mammalia; Rodentia; Muridae. The record is from RNAcentral.
CAAGAAGUAGUUUAAUUAGAAUAUCAGCUUUGGGAGUUGAUGGUAGGAAGAUUUCCUUCUUCUUGA